This 459-nucleotide ribosomal RNA is filed under the name uncultured bacterium. Its description in RNAcentral is "partial 16S ribosomal RNA". It matches the Rfam family "Bacterial small subunit ribosomal RNA", at positions 338 to 795 of the family's 1533-position model. The record is from RNAcentral.
CCUACGGGAGACAGCAGUGAGGAAUAUUGGUCAAUGGGCGCGAGCCUGAACCACCCAAGUCGCGUGAGGGAAGACGGUCCUAUGGAUUGUAAACCUCUUUUGUCGGGGAGCAAAAGACGCCACGCGUGGCGUUCCGAGAGUACCCGAAGAAAAAGCAUCGGCUAACUCCGUGCCAGCAGCCGCGGUAAUACGGAGGAUGCGAGCGUUAUCCGGAUUUAGUGGGUUUAAAGGGUGCGCAGGCGGAAGAUCAAGGCAGCGGUAAAAUUGAGAGGCUCAACCUCUUCGAGCCGUUGAAACUGGUUUUCUUGAGUGAGCGAGAAGUAGGCGGAAUGCGUGGUGUAGCGGUGAAAUGCAUAGAUAUCACGCAGAACUCCGAUUGCGAAGGCAGCAUACCGGCGCUCAACUGACGCUCAUGCACGAAAGUGUGGGUAUCGAACAGGAUUAGAUACCCCUGUAGUC